GAUUGGACAGCCGCGGAUGGAAGCCGAAAGGCUCCAGAUGAGGAAAGUCCGGGCUCCACAGGGCAGGGAUAACGGGUAACGCCCGCCGAGGGUAACCUCAGGACAAGUGCAACAGAGAGAUACCGCCUCCGCCCCCAAACAGGGCUCCCAUCAAAACCCAGCGAAAGCGGGUUUGAUGGGAAAGAGAAGAUUCCCCAUGGCGUGCGAUCUUUUCCGCUUGCGGAAAAGGGAGCGCCUCCAUGGGUGAAUCGACGAGGCAAGGGUGAAAAGGUGCGGUAAGAGCGCACCCGGCCCAUGGCAACAUGGGUUUUACGAUGUAAACUCUAUCCCGGAGCAACGCCGUGGAGGGACACGCAGGUCUGCCCGACCGUCCCGAGGAGGCGGCUUGAUCCCGUAAGCAAUUGCGGGGCUAGAUAGAUGGCUGUCAAAACAGAACCCGGCUUAUAGA
This 448-nucleotide RNase P RNA is filed under the name uncultured Faecousia sp. RNAcentral describes it as "Bacterial RNase P class A". It matches the Rfam family "Bacterial RNase P class A". From Rfam's summary of the family: Ribonuclease P (RNase P) is a ubiquitous endoribonuclease, found in archaea, bacteria and eukarya as well as chloroplasts and mitochondria. Its best characterised activity is the generation of mature 5'-ends of tRNAs by cleaving the 5'-leader elements of precursor-tRNAs. The record is from RNAcentral. Lineage: Bacteria; Bacillati; Bacillota; Clostridia; Eubacteriales; Oscillospiraceae.